AAAAUUCACAUUUCAAAGGUGUGUGGUUU
This 29-nucleotide non-coding RNA is filed under the name Mus musculus (house mouse). RNAcentral also lists the same sequence under 1 other name. The record is from RNAcentral. Lineage: Eukaryota; Metazoa; Chordata; Mammalia; Rodentia; Muridae.